Calypte anna (Anna's hummingbird) is the source of this 134-nucleotide non-coding RNA. The record is from Rfam. NCBI's taxonomy places the organism in Eukaryota, Metazoa, Chordata, Aves, Apodiformes, Trochilidae.
CCUGCCCCAGCUCGUGUUGCAGAGGUGGCUGCAGUGCCACCUUUGUGUCAUUGGGUGGCAGAGAGGAAGAGGCUGUGUCUGUCCCAGGGCUCUGAAACCUGUGAGCACUGGGGAAUGAUGAGCAACCUGACAAC